This 477-nucleotide ribosomal RNA is filed under the name uncultured organism. Its description in RNAcentral is "partial 16S ribosomal RNA". It matches the Rfam family "Bacterial small subunit ribosomal RNA", at positions 331 to 799 of the family's 1533-position model. The record is from RNAcentral.
GUACACUCCUGCGGGAGGCAGCAGUGGGGAAUUUUGGACAAUGGGCGAAAGCCUGAUCCAGCAAUGCCGCGUGAGUGAAGAAGGCCUUCGGGUUGUAAAGCUCUUUUGUCAGGGAAGAAACGGUGAAAGCUAAUAUCUUUUGCUAAUGACGGUACCUGAAGAAUAAGCACCGGCUAACUACGUGCCAGCAGCCGCGGUAAUACGUAGGGUGCAAGCGUUAAUCGGAAUUACUGGGCGUAAAGCGUGCGCAGGCGGUUUUGUAAGUCUGAUGUGAAAUCCCCGGGCUCAACCUGGGAAUUGCAUUGGAGACUGCAAGGCUAGAAUCUGGCAGAGGGGGGUAGAAUUCCACGUGUAGCAGUGAAAUGCGUAGAUAUGUGGAGGAACACCGAUGGCGAAGGCAGCCCCCUGGGUCAAGAUUGACGCUCAUGCACGAAAGCGUGGGGAGCAAACAGGAUUAGAAACCCCAGUAGUCCCAUG